RNAcentral lists this ribosomal RNA (463 nucleotides) under Vermamoeba vermiformis. RNAcentral's name for it is "SSU rRNA". It matches the Rfam family "Eukaryotic small subunit ribosomal RNA", at positions 585 to 1050 of the family's 1831-position model. The record is from RNAcentral. Lineage: Eukaryota; Tubulinea; Echinamoebida; Vermamoebidae.
CCAGCUCCAAUAGCGUAUAUUAAAGUUGUUGCAGUUAAAAAGCUGGUAGUUGGAUUUUGGAAGGUCCUUAGUAAUCCGCCCCUUCGGGGAGCGGGUUGCUGGCCUCCUAUGUUCCUAACGGUCCUCAUCCGCGAGGGUGGGGAAUCAACCGCUAGGAUCGUUUACUUUGAGGAAAUUAGAGUGUUCAAAGCAGGCGUAACUCGCCUCCGAAUACGUUAGCAUGGGAUAAUGGAAUACGACUUCGGUCUUGUUUCGUUGGUUUCGCUUGGCUGAAGUAAUGAUUGAUAGGGAUAGUUGGGGGCAUUAGUAUUUAGUUGUCAGAGGUGAAAUUCUAGGAUUUACUAAAGACUGACCAAUGCGAAAGCAUUUGCCAAGGAUGUUUUCAUUAAUCAAGAACGAAAGUAGGGGGAUCGAAGACGAUCAGAUACCGUCGUAGUCUCUACCGUAAACUAUGCCGACCAGG